CCCUGGCAGAUGACAGACUGGGUCAAUCCUCUCAUUGAAGGUAACAUCCCAUCCUGGAAGUGGUUGGCGACUCCUGUUUUUAGAGACUUACUCCGUCCAUCCAUCCAUCCAUCCAUCCAUCCAUCCAUCCAUCCAUCCAUCCAUCCAUCAAUUUUCUAUACCCGCAUUUUCUAUGCAGGGUUGCAGGGGUCUGGAGCGUAUCUGGGAUGCUGCCUAUUGUCACUAGAUGAUAUUCAACCUUCCAUCUUCAAAGACGGCAGACGUUUAGUCGAUGUUCAUCCACUUAGUAAAUAAUCAAGGCCCGUGUGGCCGGCUGAAGGUGUUACGAGCGUGAUCCAUUGUGCGUCGCAUUCUGACGCAU
Non-coding RNA from Paramormyrops kingsleyae, 361 nucleotides. Lineage: Eukaryota; Metazoa; Chordata; Actinopteri; Osteoglossiformes; Mormyridae. The record is from RefSeq and is a predicted model, not a curated record.